GAUGAACGCUGGCGGCGUGCCUAACACAUGCAAGUCGAGCGAAGCACUUUGCUUAGAUUCUUCGGAUGAAGAGGAUUGUGACUGAGCGGCGGACGGGUGAGUAACGCGUGGGUAACCUGCCUCAUACAGGGGGAUAACAGUUAGACAUGACUGCUAAUACCGCAUAAGACCACAGCACCGCAUGGUGCGGGGGUAAAAACUCCGGUGGUAUGAGAUGGACCCGCGUCUGAUUAGCUAGUUGGUAAGGUAACGGCUUACCAAGGCGACGAUCAGUAGCCGACCUGAGAGGGUGACCGGCCACAUUGGGACUGAGACACGGCCCAAACUCCUACGGGAGGCAGCAGUGGGGAAUAUUGCACAAUGGGGGAAACCCUGAUGCAGCGACGCCGCGCGAGCGAAGAAGUAUUUCGGUAUGUAAAGCUCUAUCAGCAGGGAAGAAAAUGACGGUACCUGACUAAGAAGCACCGGCUAAAUACGUGCCAGCAGCCGCGGUAAUACGUAUGGUGCAAGCGUUAUCCGGAUUUACUGGGUGUAAAGGGAGCGUAGACGGAUGGGCAAGUCUGAUGUGAAAACCCGGGGCUCAACCCCGGGACUGCAUUGGAAACUGUUCAUCUAGAGUGCUGGAGAGGUAAGUGGAAUUCCUAGUGUAGCGGUGAAAUGCGUAGAUAUUAGGAGGAACACCAGUGGCGAAGGCGGCUUACUGGACAGUAACUGACGUUGAGGCUCGAAAGCGUGGGGAGCAAACAGG
Molecule: ribosomal RNA, 748 nt
Filed under: uncultured Ruminococcus sp.
Lineage: Bacteria; Bacillati; Bacillota; Clostridia; Eubacteriales; Oscillospiraceae
Description: bacterial SSU rRNA
Rfam family: Bacterial small subunit ribosomal RNA
Source: RNAcentral